This 1014-nucleotide long non-coding RNA is filed under the name Equus caballus (horse). Its description in RNAcentral is "lncRNA (ENSECAG00000049266.1)". Lineage: Eukaryota; Metazoa; Chordata; Mammalia; Perissodactyla; Equidae. The record is from RNAcentral.
AGGGGUUGGGGGAGGAUGGUGAACUGUGGGUUGAGUUGGAGGUGUCUUUGGGACAUCCAAGCUGGAAAGACAGAUCUGGAAGUUCUGGGAAGAGGCUGGGGCUAGACGUAUUUGGAGCCUUCUGGGAACACACUGUAAUUAAAAUUGUGGAUGUGUAUGAGCUCGUCUGGAACAAGAGGAGGAAGUGAUAAGAGGGCUGGUGAGCCACGCAGAGAGGACCUAGUCCGCAAGGGGAUGGGUGUGGCCAGUGUGGAGGCAGACGCAGGGGAAUGUUUGAAAAGAAAGGUCACCUGGGGCCAUGAGAGCUGAGAAGUUGUCUGAGGCAGGCAGACUGGUUGGCAGGCUACUUCCAAAACCCAGGGCUGUGUGUGUGUGUGUGUGUGCGCGCGCGUGCGUGACACCUAGGAGGGGAACAGGUGGCCAAGGUGAGGGGGGCCAGAUUCCAGACACGUUCUCAGGUCAAGGAUGUGACCUGUAAAAUGUGGGAUGUGCAGAGAUGGGGGGCUCAAGCCCGCAUCACAGGCUUCUGUGAUUGUGAGACAGCGCUGUCCUUGGAUGAGCUGGGGAGCCUGGAGGAAGCCUGCAGUCAAGGCACGGGGGUCUGACGGGCAGCUGUGACUUCAGGCCUGAAGCUCAGGAGUGGUCAGCGCUGAAGGGGUGCACGCAGGGAGGGGCAGCCUGGAAGCUGGAGCCUAGGACUUGGCACACAGGAAGCUUUCAAUGACCGCUUGUGGAAGGACUGAGUGAAUGAAUGAAGAGCCGCCCCAGAGGGAAGGGAAUCAUGAGACAAGAGGCUGAGAGUUCAGUUCAGCUCAAACCAUGGUGGAUGGCAGCUCCCGCUGAGGGGUCGGAUACGACAGAUGGCAGAGCCUCGGGAAAGGACUGGCGAGGAGGCAAGAGGAGCCUCUUUUAAAAAAGAAGUCUGAUGAGUAAGGAGGCCCUGAGGCAGCUGGACAGAGAAGCAUUAGAAGAAAGAUUUUGUCGUGUGUGGAAAUUUAUAUGCCUCCCUCUCUC